Molecule: unclassified non-coding RNA, 224 nt
Filed under: fungal sp.
Lineage: Eukaryota; Fungi
Description: partial internal transcribed spacer region
Rfam family: Eukaryotic small subunit ribosomal RNA (bases 1-46)
Source: RNAcentral
AAGUCGUAACAAGGUUUCCGUAGGUGAACCUGCGGAAGGAUCAUUAACGUGGCGGCCGCAAGGCCGUCGCUGAGAUAGAACCCUUGCCUUUUCGAGUACCCAACGUUUCCUCGGCGGGUCCGCCCGCCAACGGGGACACAACCAAAACCUUUUUGCAACCUGACAUCAGUCUGAAUCGCAAACAAAAUCAAUCAAAACUUUCAACAACGGAUCUCUUGGUUCUG